Small nuclear RNA from Ochotona curzoniae (black-lipped pika), 107 nucleotides. Lineage: Eukaryota; Metazoa; Chordata; Mammalia; Lagomorpha; Ochotonidae. The record is from RefSeq and is a predicted model, not a curated record.
AUGCUUGCUUUGGCAGAAUGUAUAUUAAAAUCGGAACAGUACAAAGAAGAUUAGCAUGAACACUAUGCAUGGAUGACAUGCAAACUCUUGAAAAGAUGCCCUACCAG